CCUUGUUUACAGAGUAGCCCCUUCAAUUUGUUUAGGAUGUGGAGAAACUCUAAUUGAAAUUGUUGUGAAAGAAGACAGCGGUAGUACGUUAAAAUUGGUGUUGUGCUGAAAAAUUACCUCAUCGUAUCAGUAAUUAUCAUAAAUAUUUUAAAAGCCGGACACUCGCAGAGGCAAUUGAAAAUGCAUCCAUGCGGAUGCUUCCAAACGUUGUAUUGAAGGGUAAUUCUAAACCAGCCGCAUGCUUCCUGAACGUCAAUAUUCCUUGUUGACUGUCAUCAAGUGUUAUUUUACUUUGCUUGUCGUCCUGCAUGUCCAUAGUGUUUUCUACUUGUGCUAUAUAUGUCUAUCUACGAUCAUAAUAUAAUCAUUUUCACAGUGAAAAUCUGUUCGUCCUCAGAAAUAUUCAUGGCUGAGCCACACCAACUCAUGUGCCAACUCACCUACUUAGCCAGCUCAUCCGCCUGUUUUUUCCGUUAUAUUUUUGUGGCCCAGGAUCCAAGGAGUGGGACGCUAUGGCGAGCUCGUACUACCUUUGCCCUACGUUCCUAAUCACGUAAUUUUUAGUUAAAUCGUAAAUAUUAUUAUGUAUUAAAACAAAUGACACCCUAAUUUUCUAUAGCAAUUACAAUUGCAAUAUUUUAU
Condylostylus longicornis is the source of this 642-nucleotide long non-coding RNA. RefSeq lists it as uncharacterized. The record is from RefSeq and is a predicted model, not a curated record. Lineage: Eukaryota; Metazoa; Arthropoda; Insecta; Diptera; Dolichopodidae. The transcript has 3 exons.